This 397-nucleotide ribosomal RNA is filed under the name uncultured bacterium. Its description in RNAcentral is "partial 16S ribosomal RNA". It matches the Rfam family "Bacterial small subunit ribosomal RNA", at positions 523 to 918 of the family's 1533-position model. The record is from RNAcentral.
AUACGUAGGUGGCGCGCGUUGUCCGGAAUGAUUGGGCGUAAAGGGCGCGUAGGCGGCCCGGUAAGUCUGUAGUGAAAGUCCUGUUUUUAAGAUGGGAAUUGCUUUGGAUACUGUCGGGCUUGCGUGCAGGAGAGGGAAGUGGAAUUCCCAGUGUCGCGGUGAAAUGCGUAGAGAUUGGGAGGAACACCAGUGGCGAAGGCGACUUACUGGACUGUAACUGACGCUGAGGCGCGAAAGUGUGGGGAGCAAACAGGAUUAGAUACCCUGGUAGUCCACACUGUAAACGAUGAAUGCUAGGUGUAGGGGGUAUCGACCCCUUCUGUGCCGCAGUCAACACAAUAAGCAUUCCGCCUGGGGAGUACGGCCGCAAGGUUGAAACUCAAAGGAAUUGACGGGG